Molecule: transfer RNA, 73 nt
Filed under: Candidatus Dorea merdavium
Lineage: Bacteria; Bacillati; Bacillota; Clostridia; Lachnospirales; Lachnospiraceae
Description: tRNA-Thr
Rfam family: tRNA
About the family: Transfer RNA (tRNA) molecules are approximately 80 nucleotides in length.
Source: RNAcentral
UCUAAAGUGGUGCAACAGGUAGCACACAUGACUAGUGAUCAUGAUGUCGCAGGUUCGAAUCCUGUCUUUAGAA